AUGCAUGUCUCAGCGCAAACGGAACAACAGUGGGUCUGUGAAUGGCUCCUUACAUCAGCAGUCAUCCAAGCGGCAAAGUGUNNGUUGGCACCACCGUCAUAGGCCAGGUGCCCAGUUGGACAUCCACGAAAACCUUGUGGCUAAUACACGUCUACAGGAGUCGGCUGUGACACACAGGCCCUCUCGGCUAUUCGGCUGACGCUCUGACAGUCCGAUUGCCACCGGCUGGUCGCAAGACCAAGCACCCGGCGCAGAGGGUAGCGUGUUCGUGGCUGACUCAGGCUGGUCCAUCUGGAGCAGGACACACCAGCGCUGGCUGUGAAAGUCGGUGGCCCCGUGCCACGGUAAGCUUGGCCGCAGGAACUUCUGACCUAUCAGCUUGGAUUGUGGUGUAGUGGACCACAAUGGCCUUGACGGGUAACGGAGAAUCAGGGUUCGAUUCCGGAGAGGGAGCCUGAGAGACGGCUACCACUACCAAGGUGGGCAGCAGGCGCGCAAAUUGCCCAAUGCAAGACCGGUCUGCGAGGCAGCGAAGAACUGUAGCAAUCCCGCUGGGUACUUCACCCAGUGGGACUUGGAAUGGAUGCAAUCCAAACACAGCCAUGAGUAUCAACUGGAGGGCAAGUCUGGUGCCAGCAGCUGCGGUAAUUCCAGCUCCAAGGGCGUAUACUAUCAUUGCUGCUGUUAAAACACCUGUAGUCUGCCACUGGGUCGCAGGGUUGCUGGGCGGCCUGUCCUGGGCGGCGCGGGCGUUCGGUGGUUCGCCAUCGGGCGUCGGCCGUCCGGACGGGGUAAAACCCCCAGCAGCAUGUCCUGCGCCCGUCUUCCCGAUGAUGGUGCGAAAAACCUUACAAGCUCCUGCCGAAAGCCCCCUUCACUGGGGGCCGAGAGGUGGUUGUGCCUCGCAAGCGGGCGUGGACGGAUCCUGGCACGGUCCCCGUGACCGUGCAAGCGGAAGCCAGCGUCCACCACCGGAGCCGACUGUCAGUGACACCCUGGAAAACUCAGUGUGCUCAACGCGUCCACCCACGGCUGGAUGCUCAUCCAUGGAACGUCAAAGCAUCGACCGAGCAAGGAACGAGGAGUUGUGCUGGUCUUGGAGCCUGCUCUGGGCAAUGUGGUGCAUGGUCUUGACCGACACGUGCCGUGUCGGGGCCGCGGGCGGUGUCCCCGUUCCCGCGUCACCCCGCGCACGCGCACGCCGGCUCUCUGAGUGUGUAUCAAGCGGAUCCGAUGGGACCGUUCAGGGUGAAAGGUACUGCAGCGCCAGAGGUGAAAUUCUUAGAUCGCUGCAAGACGCCCGGCAGCGAAGGCGUUCUGCAAGGACGUGUUCGUCGAUCAAGGAUGAGAGUCUGGGGAGCGAAGAUGAUCAGACACCGUCGUAGUCCAGCACUGUAAACGAUGCCAGCAAGGCAUCGGCUGGGAAAGUCCAACGACCCAGCCGGUGCCAUGCCCCCUACACCGAGAAAUCCACAGCCUGUGGGUUCAGGGGGGAGUACCGUCGCAAGGCUGAAACUUAAAGGAAUUGACGGAAUGGCACCACAAGGUGUGGAGUAUGCGGCUUAAUUUGACUCAACACGGGGAACGUUACCAGGUCAGGACACAGCCGGGAUGGACAGAUUGAGAGCUCUUUCUUGAUCCUGUGGACGGUGGUGCAUGGCCGCUCCUGAUUGGUGGAGUGAUUUGUCUGGUUGAUUCCGAUAACGAGUGAGAUCUCUGCCUCCGAAUAGCCUGCGGCUCGCAUCUGGUAGGGCACAUGCGACCGCGGCCGGAACCCUGCAUCCAAAGCGGUCGGCCCUCGCGGUCGGCCGUGUGGGGGGAAGGCCCGGACGCACCCGAGAGCCGCAUGCUCCGCUUCUCUGAGGUGCUGCGUACACUGCCAAGUGCGCGCAUGCUAGAGCCAACAGCAGGUCUGUGAUGCUCCCAGAUGUCCUGGGCCGCACGCGCACUACAUUGACACAGUGAAUGAGUCAGCCCGCCCGCCGGGCCCUGGUCGGAAGUGACUGGGAAAUCUUGCGAGUCUGUGGCCGUACUGGGGAUAGAUGAUUGCAACUGUCUGCCUUGAACGCGGAAUACCUAGUAUGCGCAGGUCAUCAGCCUGCACGGAUUGUGUCCCUGCCAUUUGUACACACCGCCCGUCGUUGCUACCGAUGGUAGCCGGAUAGAGCCAUCGGGAGGUCGGACCACCCUUCGCGGGGCCAAGCUGAAAUCGGGCGAUGUCCCGUUGCUAGAGGAAGCAAAA
This 2242-nucleotide ribosomal RNA is filed under the name Euglena sp. M1858. RNAcentral describes it as "bacterial SSU rRNA". It matches the Rfam family "Eukaryotic small subunit ribosomal RNA". The record is from RNAcentral. Lineage: Eukaryota; Euglenozoa; Euglenophyceae; Euglenales; Euglenaceae.